RNAcentral lists this long non-coding RNA (1084 nucleotides) under Calidris pugnax (ruff). Its description in RNAcentral is "lncRNA (ENSCPUG00000013272.1)". Lineage: Eukaryota; Metazoa; Chordata; Aves; Charadriiformes; Scolopacidae. The record is from RNAcentral.
GUCCCUUCCAACCUAGAAGAUUCUGUGAUUCUGAGAUACUUCCAUGAUAUCCACUGUCUUUUUAGCUGGUGGACAGGUGAUGCUGAAGCACAGCAUGUGCACAGACCAUGGUCAACAUUCGGAGCUCCUGAAAACAAUCACUGACACAGGCUGAUGUCUGAAGGACUGGUCACUAAAACUGUCCGUAUCGUUUGCCCCCCUUUUAUUUUAUCCAUCGUCUUUCUGGAUUAGUAACAUCCAGGAGGGAUGCGAGUAACUUGAUCUAACACCUACAGCAUUGCUAUCACCACCAAAACAUUCGUUGAGAUAAUAAAGGAAAUGUGCACUGGCUGAAGAGGCUUGCGUGUAAAUUAGACCAAGCAGUUAAAAAAAACCCCAAAAACUAGCAAACAAACUGGCUAGAUACUUCAGACUUUCCAGAAGAGCAGAGGGGAACAAGAAAUCACUGCAGGUUUUACCACUUUUACCUGGAAAAAGGUCUUCUCUCUGGUAGUUUAUCCAGUUCAUAGAGACUUUGUGUAAUUGUUAAUAGAUUUACCUUGGGAAGGAUUUGGACUUAGGUGGUACCAGAAAUCCUGUGCACUGAAUUCUCCAGGAACUCCUUGUGAUAGGCCCUGGUUCUCUGGCCCAGGAAACUCAAAGACCCUCACAGACUGUGCGAGCUGCUCUUUUCCAUACCUUCCUUCACUUUUGGGAGCUGUUUCUUCUGACUCGGCAAUAAAGAGAAGGGAAGUGCUCUGGGAAUUCAGAUCCACGAUACGUACAAAGUCAUGCUUUCUGACUGAGAAGGAGACCAGAAGUAAAUCCUCCUUGUGCAUCCAGAUUGGAUCUCGCAUUGAAAAACAUCAAAAUCUGAAUUAUACAGAGGCUACGCAGCACUAUGGAUGUUAGUGACUGACAUACUCCAGCAGUGAUAUCACUAGAGCUUAAACAUCAGUGAAGAAGCUGUCCAAGCGAAUGAGAAACUUGUAAGCUCAAGCAGCUGCACUGAAGUGCCUGUUCCAGAGACAUCGGGCAGGAGGAACAACUGUACAACAUUGUGAAAGCACUUUUUUGCAGUCUCCAACUCCGACCAAGGAUGGCU